This 740-nucleotide ribosomal RNA is filed under the name uncultured archaeon. RNAcentral's name for it is "bacterial SSU rRNA". It matches the Rfam family "Archaeal small subunit ribosomal RNA", at positions 1 to 750 of the family's 1478-position model. The record is from RNAcentral.
UUCCGGUUGAUCCUGCCGGACCCGACUGCUAUCAGAGUGGGACUAAGCCAUGCGAGUCGACGUAGCAAUGCGUGGCGAACGGCUCAGUAACACGUAGUCAACAUGCCCAGGGGACGUGGAUAACCUCGGGAAACUGAGAAUAAACCACGAUAGGUCACGAUUUCUGGAAUGGAUCAUGGCCUAAAUCUACAUGGCCCCUGGAUUGGACUGCGGCCGAUCAGGCUGUUGGUGAGGUAAUGGCCCACCAAACCUAUAACCGGUACGGGCUCUGAGAGGAGAAGCCCGGAGAUGGGCACUGAGACAAGGGCCCAGGCCCUAUGGGGCGCAGCAGGCGCGAAACCUCUGCAAUAGGCGAAAGCCUGACAGGGUUACUCUGAGUGAUUUCCGCUAAGGAAGUCCUUUGGCACCUCUAAAAAUGGUGCAGAAUAAGGGGUGGGCAAGUCUGGUGUCAGCCGCCGCGGUAAUACCAGCACCCCGAGUGGUCGGGACGAUUAUUGGGCCUAAAGCGUCCGUAGCCGGUCCUGCAAGUCCUCCGUUAAAUCCACCCGCUCAACGGUUGGGCCGCGGGGGAUACUACAGGGCUAGGAGGCGGGAGAGGCAAGCGGUACUCGAUGGGUAGGGGUAAAAUCCACUGAUCCAUUGAAGACCACCAGUGGCGAAGGUGGCUUGCCAGAACGCGCUCGACGGUGAGGGAUGAAAGCUGGGGGAGCAAACCGGAUUAGAUACCCGGGUAGUCCCAG